GUGUGUGUGUAUGUCAGUGUGUCUGUAUGUCAGUAUGUCUGUCAUAGACACACACAGACAUACUGACAUACAUACACAAACAGACAU
Molecule: microRNA precursor, 87 nt
Filed under: Pelobates cultripes (western spadefoot toad)
Lineage: Eukaryota; Metazoa; Chordata; Amphibia; Anura; Pelobatidae
Source: RNAcentral